CCGGGCUCUUGCCUACAUCCAAGACAUCAACCACCUGCCACUAAGCUUGUGGUGCCAAAUCUAUCUCCAGCCUGACUCCCAGCCGCCUCCGGUUGCUUGUCCUGACCGCAGGCUCGCUGGCUUUGGCUCCCUCUCCACACAGCGGCCGGGGGGUGGGGGUGGGGGCCUGCCUCAAGUGCACCUGGUGACAGCACUCGCCUACGCCUGCACAGGAGCACGUCACCCACGUCAGAAGUCCCGAACAUUUGGAAAUGGAACUUGCUUUUCAAAUAAAUAUUUUCAACACCAAUAGAGGAAAGAAAUGAAAAGUUAUCUCAUUGGCAGGUGGAUGUGUUUACAGAAGCCAAAACAAUAGGAAUGGAGUUCUUCGCCCUGUCACGUGGUUGGCUGUGGAGACAUGUAUUUAAUCCUGGAUAGUAAGAUAUGUUCAUCUACUUUCUGAAAGGAAAGAGGAGAAAAUACAUUUUUUUUUUUAAAGUCUCCAGUUCUUUGUUCAUUUUGUCAGUCUGUGAGAGGCGGAAACUCUUCUCUGGGCCAUGACAGCGUCCGCUCCCUCCCUCAGCACCCUGAGAAAUUUCAGUAUGUUUUGAGAUUCCUCACCAUUAAACCCUUGUCAAUUGCUAUGCUUUCAAAUUCUCUGAGUUCUUGGAAAUUCUCACAUCUCUAUUUAUAAAAGCAGGAUUCUUCGAUAAAUUAAUAGCAUAAAAAAGUGAAGGGGUAUUGUUCUAAAUUG
Long non-coding RNA from Lemur catta (Ring-tailed lemur), 733 nucleotides. RefSeq lists it as uncharacterized. The record is from RefSeq and is a predicted model, not a curated record. NCBI's taxonomy places the organism in Eukaryota, Metazoa, Chordata, Mammalia, Primates, Lemuridae. The transcript is spliced from 3 exons.